AUUGAACGCUGGCGGCAGGCCUAACACAUGCAAGUCGAACGGUAACAGGAAGCAGCUUGCUGCUUUGCUGACGAGUGGCGGACGGGUGAGUAAUGUCUGGGAAACGGCCUGAUGGAGGGGGAUAACUACUGGAAACGGUAGCUAAUACCGCAUAACGUCGCAAGACCAAAGAGGGGGACCUUCGGGCCUCUUGCCAUCGGAUGUGCCCAGAUGGGAUUAGCUAGUAGGUGGGGUAACGGCUCACCUAGGCGCCGAUCCCUAGCUGGUCUGAGAGGAUGACCAGCCACACUGGAACUGAGACACGGUCCAGACUCCUACGGGAGGCAGCAGUGGGGAAUAUUGCACAAUGGGCGCAAGCCUGAUGCAGCCAUGCCGCGUGUAUGAAGAAGGCCUUCGGGUUGUAAAGUACUUUCAGCGGGGAGGAAGGGAGUAAAGUUAAUACCUUUGCUCAUUGACGUUACCCGCAGAAGAAGCACCGGCUAACUCCGUG
RNAcentral lists this ribosomal RNA (490 nucleotides) under uncultured bacterium. RNAcentral describes it as "partial 16S ribosomal RNA". It matches the Rfam family "Bacterial small subunit ribosomal RNA", at positions 30 to 507 of the family's 1533-position model. The record is from RNAcentral.